This is a long non-coding RNA of Rattus norvegicus (Norway rat), 677 nucleotides long. The record is from Ensembl. NCBI's taxonomy places the organism in Eukaryota, Metazoa, Chordata, Mammalia, Rodentia, Muridae.
CAACAGUGUACUGCUUCACAGCCAUUGACCUUACUGGUAGAUAUCCCUGGAAAGUUUCCAGCUCUCAGUUUACUUGAAAUGACUUUCAUGAAGCAGAGAAAAUUGAUUGGGAAGAAAAUUUGCCAGCGUUCAGCUUGAACAGGAAAACUGCUGUGGUGUAUGACAAAGGUACUGGAGAAAUAGCAUAUAAGGGAAGGAUGAAACUAAACCAGGAAUGGAUGAACUUCUGUGGCUACAGGGCUACAGGGAAUGGAAAAACAAGAUACCCUACAUAGUAGCAGGGAGAAGCAUUUGCAAGCCACUUCAAGGGCAACUGUGUGGAAGAGUUUCAGCACAAUAUUGAUGUGGUCAAGACACUUGAGGUCAUGUGCAGAGAAUGGAUCAGAGGAUGGCAAGUCUGAAUGUUUGGAGACUGGUUCUUAAGCCAUGAGAUGGUGAAAAGCCAACUUGUCUCUCAGGCGUGAGGGAUGGCACAGAGGUUAGGACGUUGCACUGCUCCUACUGAAGACCCGGGUUCGGUCCCGACCACGCAUGCCAUUCAGAUCACAACCCCCUCUAACUCCAAGAAAAGACAUUUCCUUCUUCUGGCCACCAUGGGCAAAGAACAGAACUUAUGUGCACAGACCAACAACCACCUACAAAUGGACAUGAUUGGAAAAUAACAAUCAGUCUUAGAA